GAGGCUCCAAUACUUUGGCCACCUCAUGAGAAGAGAAGACUUCCUGGAAAAGACCCUGAUGUUGGGAAAGAUGGAGGGCACAAGGAGAAGGGGACGACAGAGGAAGAGAUGAUUCGAUAGUGUUCUCGAAGCUACCAGCAUGAGUUUGACCAAACUGCGGGAGGCGGUGGAAGACAGGAGUGCCUGACGUGCUCUGGUCCAUGGGGUCAUGAAGAGUCGGACACGACUAAAUGACUAAACAACAACAACAAAAUGAUCCUCAGGGUCCCUUCCAACUCUAUAAUUCUAUGUAGUCAUACUGUACCUUUCAUGAGCCAAGUGAUCAGGGCUGUGAGGGGAGUUGUGGUCCACCAGCACCUGCAGGUUCCCCAUCCCUGAGCUAGGACAUCUGAGCCCUUUAAAUUUUUAUGUGCCCGAGGCUCCUCUCUAGAUUGUGGUUUCCCUACGUGUAAUUUUAUCUGUAGAGAUGUCUUGUUGUAGUUUGACAUCUGUGUCUUCCGCAUGAUAUAGGCAUGCAUCCAUCUAUGCAGUCUAUAUUUAGCCAUUGCUGCUUUUUGGCUUCACCCAGGGACAGUGCUCUGUGCAAACACUGGAAAUGCACAGAAAAGGGUGGAUUGCUGCAGAGGCAGGCAUGGUAAGCACAUCAUACAUUCAGCUUUCAGAAACUUCUGAUAACCAAUGCACACUUCUAUUUCCUCCUGUAUAAUGCGUUCCUCAUCACUUCAUUCUUGCACCUAAAAGGUCUGCUUUACAGAUGGUUCUGCACCAAUUCCCCAUUCUGAGAGUCUCCUUGACUGGAAGGAGGCAAGCCCACAACCUGUGGCUGCUGCAUCUCUGGGAAAGGCAAUCCUCCUUUGACUGUGAGUAAUUCUUCUGUCUCUUUCAGGAGCAAUUGAAUGAUCUGGUCAUUUGCAAACAAUAGAAUUGCUUGCCCUUGGAGUAGGUGACGCAUUGGGGAUAGCUGUUUGCAGCCUUACCAGGAAGUAAGUAAGCCCCACUUACUUACUCGGAAGGCUUACUUCUGAAUAGACAUGUGUAGCAUUGCAAUGUGUCAGUAACUUAAUGUCCUUGCCCACACAGAGCAGUAGCUAGGGGGUGGCGAGGAAGGCCCCUGCCAGGGGCACAGGCGAGGGGGCCCGCCCCGCAAAAUCGGUUAAAAAUAUGUCUAUCAAUAAAAAUAUUGAUUAUUGCCUCAUA
Molecule: long non-coding RNA, 1197 nt
Organism: Podarcis raffonei (Aeolian wall lizard)
Lineage: Eukaryota; Metazoa; Chordata; Lepidosauria; Squamata; Lacertidae
Exons: 2
Source: RefSeq, a predicted model, not a curated record